CGAUUAAAUCUCUCGAGUAGACGCUGUCUCUUUAGAUGCGAGGGCAAAAUAGCACUUUAUGGACUUCCACAGAGGACAUCAUGUUUAAUACGGUUCCGGAAAAAUCCAGUCAGAAGUUGUUCACGGAGUUUUCACAAUAACUGCUUCUCAUGAACCGAAGCUGGAUUUGCGCGGCGUCUCCUCUUGAAAGUUGGAUUACUGUGCACUUCUGGAUCACAGACUGUAAGUAUUCAUGUUUAUUAUUUGCCUUUUACUGUACAUUACGUAACCGGUAACCGGAGAUUAACAUAAUGUGCGUGUAGAGCUAAGCUUGCAAGCUAAUUGUUUUGUGUUGUAAUACUGUAUUUCAUAAACAACGUACCAUAUUUACACACGUGUAUGUUGAAUUAUGCAGGCUUUCGUUUUUUUUAUCGAUGUUGGUUUAGACAUGUUUACAAACUUGCUAAGUUGCUAAGAUAAAUACAAAUACAAAUGCCAGCUAAACUGUUACCGGUAAAAUUUGUUCUCAUGAUCAAACUCAAGAAACUCUAAGUACAGAUGAUUUGUUUAAAGUUAUAUGUAUUUUACUGUUGUAUUUACUUGAAGCUUUCUUAGAUUUUGAAACGAAGUAAACACGUAAUGUGUGUUGCUAAUGUUGGGCCAUGUAAUAUGUAAUACAUUUACGUUUUAAUGAAUAGUCUAACGAUUUAUAGUCGUUGUACUCUAUUGUUAUAAUAUUUCUUUUUGACUGAAUACAUGUUUGUUUUAUUUGUCUAUAUCCUAGAUUCGCAGCUGUACACAUCCUUCUACACUGUAUGCAAACAUGCAACAUCAUUACACACAGUACAAGGAGUCAGACUGGCAUAUGAGGAGCAAAGGAACCCAGGCAGUAGCAUCGUUUCACAAUGUUUCCAUCAUCAUCAUCAGUGGAUGCCUUUGCCGUCCGUAGCCUGAGAUUUCAGAUUUGCAGCAAAAAAAAAAUGAUUUUCUCAUUUAUUGGAAUGCUGUGCAGGUAUUUGUACCUUGCAGCCAUCCAUUACAAUGUCACCAAGCCGUAACAAAAGCAGGAGAGGGAAAGUACAAGGCUAUGUUCCCAAAACACAAAUGACAUACCUUAUGUGGAGGAUGUGAUCAGGCUUGUGUUUGAUGAGGUAUUUGAAGAUAAGCUGAAGGAAACCCCAAUUCCAAUGGACCUGGCAUCACAGUUUGAGAGACCUUCAAAGGAGGACGUGAUUGCAUGCCAUCUUCAGUGCAGGGGUCGUCGAAAGCCAAAAUUGUGACCGAUCUGAUCAGGAAGCUCCAAGCGUAUCUGGAGAACAACACACGACAGGAUGAUAACCUUAUAGUGUCGUCUUAGAUAGCACCAGCUGACAAAGCUUUGCUGUGCCAUUUAUCUGAAUAGAUAGCUGUAAG
Molecule: long non-coding RNA, 1392 nt
Organism: Paramisgurnus dabryanus
Lineage: Eukaryota; Metazoa; Chordata; Actinopteri; Cypriniformes; Cobitidae
Source: RefSeq, a predicted model, not a curated record